Molecule: ribosomal RNA, 500 nt
Filed under: uncultured bacterium
Lineage: Bacteria
Description: partial 16S ribosomal RNA
Rfam family: Bacterial small subunit ribosomal RNA
Source: RNAcentral
GACGAACGCUGGCGGCGUGCUUAACACAUGCAAGUCGAACGGGUCUGCCCUGUUUUUUGCGGGGUGGGUCAGUGGCGAACGGGUGAGUAACACGUGAGUAACCUGCCCCUCACUUCUGGAUAACCGCUUGAAAGGGUGGCUAAUACGGGGUGUUCUGGCUGUGCCGCAUGGUGUGGCUGGGAAAGAUUCACUUUUGUGGUGUUUUGGUGGGGGAUGGGCUCGCGGCCUAUCAGCUUGUUGGUGGGGUGAUGGCCUGCCAAGGCUUUGACGGGUAGCCGGCCUGAGAGGGUGGGCGGUCACACUGGGACUGAGAUACGGCCCAGACUCCUGCGGGAGGCAGCAGUGGGGGGUAUUGCACAAUGGGCGGAAGCCUGAUGCAGCGGCGUCGCGUGAGGGAUGGAGGCCUUCGGGUUGUGAACCUCUUUCGCCGGUGAAGAAGGUCCUGCUCUUUGUGGUGGGGUUGACGGUAGCCGGGUUAUGAAGCGCCGGCUAACUACGUG